GAGUUUGGGGUCAGGAUUUGGGGUCAGAGUUGGGGAUUUUGGGGAGAUUUGGGGUUCAGGAUUUGGGAUUUGGGGUCGGGAUUUGGGGUUCAGGAUUUGGGAUUUAUGGGGUUUGGGGUCAGGAUUUGGGGUCGGAAUUUUAGGAUUUGGGGGAUUUGGGAUGGUCCAAAGGGAUUUAGGAACACCCAGGAUGGAUUUGGGAUGGUCC
This 208-nucleotide long non-coding RNA is filed under the name Zonotrichia albicollis (white-throated sparrow). RNAcentral's name for it is "lncRNA (ENSZALG00000003198.1)". The record is from RNAcentral. Lineage: Eukaryota; Metazoa; Chordata; Aves; Passeriformes; Passerellidae.